This 301-nucleotide ribosomal RNA is filed under the name Neriene radiata. RNAcentral describes it as "partial 12S ribosomal RNA". Lineage: Eukaryota; Metazoa; Arthropoda; Arachnida; Araneae; Linyphiidae. The record is from RNAcentral.
UGGUGGCAUUUUAUUUUAUUAGAGGAAUCUGUUUUUUAAUCGAUAGCCCGCGUUAAAUCUUACUCUUUAUUAAAUCUUAUAUAUCUCCGUUUCAAGAAUAUUUUUCAAAAUACUAUUCAAAAAAAUUUUUAAAAAAAUAGGUAAAGAUGUAGACUACAAAAGAGUUAAAAUGGAUUACACUUAACGCUAUUUAAGGAUAAAUUUAUAUUUAUUUUUAUGAAAUAGGAUUUAAAAGUAUUAUUAAAAUAAUAUUUUAUUUUGAAUAAGAUAAUAAAUGUGCACACAUCGCCCGUCGCUCUUA